Molecule: ribosomal RNA, 1086 nt
Filed under: Salmonella enterica subsp. enterica serovar Enteritidis
Lineage: Bacteria; Pseudomonadati; Pseudomonadota; Gammaproteobacteria; Enterobacterales; Enterobacteriaceae
Description: bacterial SSU rRNA
Rfam family: Bacterial small subunit ribosomal RNA
Source: RNAcentral
GCGGACGGGUGAGUAAUGUCUGGGAAACUGCCUGAUGGAGGGGGAUAACUACUGGAAACGGUGGCUAAUACCGCAUAACGUCGCAAGACCAAAGAGGGGGACCUUCGGGCCUCUUGCCAUCAGAUGUGCCCAGAUGGGAUUAGCUUGUUGGUGAGGUAACGGCUCACCAAGGCGACGAUCCCUAGCUGGUCUGAGAGGAUGACCAGCCACACUGGAACUGAGACACGGUCCAGACUCCUACGGGAGGCAGCAGUGGGGAAUAUUGCACAAUGGGCGCAAGCCUGAUGGAGCCAUGCCGCGUGUAUGAAGAAGGCCUUCGGGUUGUAAAGUACUUUCAGCGGGGAGGAAGGUGUUGUGGUUAAUAACCGCAGCAAUUGACGUUACCCGCAGAAGAAGCACCGGCUAACUCCGUGCCAGCAGCCGCGGUAAUACGGAGGGUGCAAGCGUUAAUCGGAAUUACUGGGCGUAAAGCGCACGCAGGCGGUCUGUCAAGUCGGAUGUGAAAUCCCCGGGCUCAACCUGGGAACUGCAUUCGAAACUGGCAGGCUUGAGUCUUGUAGAGGGGGGUAGAAUUCCAGGUGUAGCGGUGAAAUGCGUAGAGAUCUGGAGGAAUACCGGUGGCGAAGGCGGCCCCCUGGACAAAGACUGACGCUCAGGUGCGAAAGCGUGGGGAGCAAACAGGAUUAGAUACCCUGGUAGUCCACGCCGUAAACGAUGUCUACUUGGAGGUUGUGCCCUUGAGGCGUGGCUUCCGGAGCUAACGCGUUAAGUAGACCGCCUGGGGAGUACGGCCGCAAGGUUAAAACUCAAAUGAAUUGACGGGGGCCCGCACAAGCGGUGGAGCAUGUGGUUUAAUUCGAUGCAACGCGAAGAACCUUACCUGGUCUUGACAUCCACAGAACUUUCCAGAGAUGGAUUGGUGCCUUCGGGAACUGUGAGACAGGUGCUGCAUGGCUGUCGUCAGCUCGUGUUGUGAAAUGUUGGGUUAAGUCCCGCAACGAGCGCAACCCUUAUCCUUUGUUGCCAGCGGUCCGGCCGGGAACUCAAAGGAGACUGCCAGUGAUAAACUGGAGGAAGGUGGGGAUG